This 372-nucleotide ribosomal RNA is filed under the name uncultured organism. Its description in RNAcentral is "bacterial SSU rRNA". It matches the Rfam family "Bacterial small subunit ribosomal RNA", at positions 526 to 896 of the family's 1533-position model. The record is from RNAcentral.
CGAAGGUUGCAAGCGUUACUCGGAAUUACUAGGCGUAAAGGGCAGGUAGGUGGUUUGGUAAGUCUGUUGUGAAAGCUCCUGGCUUAACUGGGAGAGGUCAAUAGAUACUGCCGAACUUGAGUAUAGGAGAGGUUACUGGAAUUCCCGGUGUAGCGGUGAAAUGCGCAGAGAUCGGGAGGAACACCAAUGGCGAAAGCAGGUAACUGGACUAUUACUGACGCUAAGCUGCGAAAGCUAGGGGAGCAAACAGGAUUAGAUACCCUGGUAGUCCUAGCCGUAAACGAUGCACAUUAGACGUGAGGGGUAUCGACCCCCUUCGUGUCGACGCUAACGCAUUAAAUGUGCCGCCUGGGGAGUACGGCCGCAAGGUUG